RNAcentral lists this ribosomal RNA (445 nucleotides) under uncultured bacterium. RNAcentral's name for it is "partial 16S ribosomal RNA". It matches the Rfam family "Bacterial small subunit ribosomal RNA", at positions 354 to 796 of the family's 1533-position model. The record is from RNAcentral.
GUGAGGAAUAUUGGUCAAUGGGCGCAAGCCUGAACCAGCCAUGCCGCGUGCAGGAAGACGGUCCUAUGGAUUGUAAACUGCUUUUAUUUGGGAAUAAACUCCGGUACGUGUACCGGCCUGAAGGUACCAAAUGAAUAAGCACCGGCUAACUCCGUGCCAGCAGCCGCGGUAAUACGGAGGGUGCAAGCGUUAUCCGGAAUCAUUGGGUUUAAAGGGUCCGCAGGCGGUCUUAUAAGUCAGUGGUGAAAGCCUACAGCUCAACUGUAGAACUGCCAUUGAUACUGUAGGACUUGAAUUCGAUCGAAGUGGGCGGAAUGUGACAUGUAGCGGUGGAAUGCUUAGAUAUGUCACAGAACACCGAUAGCGAAGGCAGCUCACUAGGUCUGGAUUGACGCUCAGGGACGAAAGCGUGGGGAGCAAACAGGAUUAGAAACCCGAGUAGUCC